Molecule: ribosomal RNA, 151 nt
Filed under: uncultured Glomus
Lineage: Eukaryota; Fungi; Glomeromycota; Glomeromycetes; Glomerales; Glomeraceae
Description: 5.8S ribosomal RNA
Rfam family: 5.8S ribosomal RNA
About the family: 5.8S ribosomal RNA (5.8S rRNA) is a component of the large subunit of the eukaryotic ribosome.
Source: RNAcentral
ACUUUCAACAACGGAUCUCUUGGUUCUCGCAUCGAUGAAGAACGUAGCGAAGUGCGAUAAGUAGUGUGAAUUGCAGAUUCCGUGAAUCAUCGAGUCUUUGAACGCAAAUUGCACUCUCUGGUAUUCCGGAAAGUAUGCCUGUUUGAGGGUC